RNAcentral lists this long non-coding RNA (238 nucleotides) under Mytilus galloprovincialis (Mediterranean mussel). The stretch from base 141 to 185 matches the Rfam family "Histone 3' UTR stem-loop". The record is from RNAcentral. Lineage: Eukaryota; Metazoa; Mollusca; Bivalvia; Mytilida; Mytilidae.
CUCCCGUGAAAAUGAUGUCACAGACGUAAAUAAACAAAAUGGCAACGUUCACGUUACACUGGAAGCCCAUCGAGAGACGAGGGAAUAAGGCAUUGGACAUCAAUAGAGCUGAGAGUGCCAGCAGCCGAUGACAUCUCUUAUAAACGGUCCUUUUCAGGACCAUCAAUAUUUUACAAAAAGAUUCUACUUUUGUUGUAAAUUCGAGAAAUUCGAACACAAAUGUAUUUUCAAAUAUCAG